AGUGAACGUUGGCGGUAGGCCUAACACAUGCAAGUCGAACGGCAGCACAGUAAGAGCUUGCUCUUACGGGUGGCGAGUGGCGGACGGGUGAGGAAUACAGCGGAAUCUACUUUUUCGUGGGGGAUAACGUAGGGAAACUUACGCUAAUACCGCAUACGACCUACGGGUGAAAGCAGGGGAUCUUCGGACCUUGCGCGAUUGAAUGAGCCGAUGUCGGAUUAGCUAGUUGGCGGGGUAAAGGCCCACCAAGGCGACGAUCCGUAGCUGGUCUGAGAGGAUGUACAGCCACACUGGAACUGAGACACGGUCCAGACUCCUACGGAAGGCAGCGGUGGAGAAUAUUGGCCAAUGGGCGCAAGCCUGAUCCAGCCAUACCGCGUGGGUGAAGAAGGCCUUCGGGUUGUAAAGCCCUUUUGUUGGGAAAGAAAAGCAGCAGGUUAAUACCCCGCUGUUCUGACGGUACCCAAAGAAUAAGCACCGGCUAACUUCGUG
This 492-nucleotide ribosomal RNA is filed under the name uncultured bacterium. Its description in RNAcentral is "partial 16S ribosomal RNA". It matches the Rfam family "Bacterial small subunit ribosomal RNA", at positions 29 to 507 of the family's 1533-position model. The record is from RNAcentral.